CGGUAUAACAAACAUUUAGUAAUACUGAGUAAUACUAUUGUAUAAUUGUGUUCAAUUGCAUGAGUCUGCUGACCCACUAGCUGGUCUUUCAGACCCACCAGCUGGUCCUUAGGAUCCACUUGCCAAGGAUGAUAAUGGUGGUUUAUGUGCGAUAGGCAAGGAAGAACCAACUCGGAAAGAAGUCCAACCCAAUUAGAUUUGGCUUCUUGUGUUUGGAUACAAUGAGGGAGAACGUGUUCAUAUAUUUCAAAUGCCAAGGUCGCAUGUAUAGCUUGAUGAUGAAGACAUCAUGGGAGAAGAUAACUCUCUCCAUGUUAGAAGCUUACUCAAAAUCGAAUGUUCGAAAUGACUGGAGAAGAUGCUACGUCCGUAGAGCCAUUUGGGAGAAAAUUUCGACUUUUUAAUUUAUUCCACAUGGUCUUCUACUUCUUAUCUAGCAUUGUUAUUGGGCACACACAGAUUGGAGAAGAUGCUACGUCCAUGGAGUCAUAUUUUCUGAGAGCAUUGUAUGAUAUGAACUAUUUUGGGUUGUAAUGUUUCUAAUCUGUGUUCAUUGUUUACAUCCCACAUGAAAUUGAUAGUAUCAUGGUAGCUGGAGGUGAAGAAGAAUAUACCUUCUUUAUU
Arabidopsis lyrata subsp. lyrata is the source of this 624-nucleotide long non-coding RNA. RefSeq lists it as uncharacterized. NCBI's taxonomy places the organism in Eukaryota, Viridiplantae, Streptophyta, Magnoliopsida, Brassicales, Brassicaceae. The record is from RefSeq and is a predicted model, not a curated record. The transcript has 2 exons.